RNAcentral lists this transfer RNA (70 nucleotides) under Anoplolepis gracilipes. Its description in RNAcentral is "tRNA-Gly". Lineage: Eukaryota; Metazoa; Arthropoda; Insecta; Hymenoptera; Formicidae. The record is from RNAcentral.
AUUUAUAUAGUAUAUUUCAUAUUACAUUUAAUUUCCAAUUAAAAAAAUUAAUAAAAUUUUAAUAUAAAUA